RNAcentral lists this long non-coding RNA (255 nucleotides) under Trifolium pratense (red clover). RNAcentral describes it as "long non-coding RNA (TPRA_LNC013002)". The record is from RNAcentral. Lineage: Eukaryota; Viridiplantae; Streptophyta; Magnoliopsida; Fabales; Fabaceae.
GAAUGUAAGCAAAUUUAAAUGCCGGUUAUGAAUUUUGUGGCUAAAAUGAAGUAUGUGUUCUUCAAAUUAUUGUGUGACUUUUUGUAUGAGAUAUUUUGGGAGCUAAGGAAUCUUGCAUUGGUUGUUGUUUGAGUAAUUAGAGCCAAUAUUUGAUUAACUUAUUAACAAUCACUUUUCAAAAAGGCAAUAUUAAAAUGAAUCUUAAGAUAGUUAUGACUUAUGAGUUUGUUGAAAUAACUUUGUAUAUAAGUUGAA